RNAcentral lists this ribosomal RNA (254 nucleotides) under uncultured bacterium. RNAcentral's name for it is "partial 16S ribosomal RNA". It matches the Rfam family "Bacterial small subunit ribosomal RNA", at positions 524 to 776 of the family's 1533-position model. The record is from RNAcentral.
UACGGGGGGAGCAAGCGUUGUUCGGAUUUACUGGGCGUAAAGGGCGCGUAGGCGGCCGAGCGGGUCGUGGGUGAAAUCCCCCAGCUUAACUGGGGAAGUGCUUACGAUACCACUGCGGCUGGAGGAAGGCAGGGGCACUUGGAACUGUCGGUGGAGCGGUGAAAUGCGUUGAUAUCGACAGGAACGCCGGUGGCGAAAGCGGAGUGCUGGUCCUUUUCUGACGCUGAGGCGCGAAAGCCAGGGGAGCAAACGGG